UAGCGGCGAGCGAACGGGGAGGAGCCCAGAGCCUGAAUCAGCAUGUGUGUUAGUGGAAGCGUCUGGAAAGGCGCGCGAUACAGGGUGACAGCCCCGUACACAAAAGCGCAUGUGCUGUGAGCUCGAUGAGUAGGGCGGGACACGUGGUAUCCUGUCUGAAUAUGGGGGGACCAUCCUCCAAGGCUAAAUACUCCUGACUGACCGAUAGUGAACCAGUACCGUGAGGGAAAGGCGAAAAGAACCCCGGCGAGGGGAGUGAAAAAGAACCUGAAACCGUGUACGUACAAGCAGUGGGAGCCCCACCACUAAGCCAGUGGUGAACUCCACAUACGCAUCCUUUGCUGAGGAUACGGUUAACGGAGCGAAAGCGACGUUCAACCUCAAAAGAAGCAGAGGGGGCUUAGUGGUGGGGUGACUGCGUACCUUUUGUA
RNAcentral lists this ribosomal RNA (431 nucleotides) under Salmonella enterica subsp. enterica serovar Schwarzengrund. RNAcentral's name for it is "partial 23S ribosomal RNA". It matches the Rfam family "Bacterial large subunit ribosomal RNA", at positions 244 to 612 of the family's 2925-position model. Lineage: Bacteria; Pseudomonadati; Pseudomonadota; Gammaproteobacteria; Enterobacterales; Enterobacteriaceae. The record is from RNAcentral.